Molecule: small nuclear RNA, 164 nt
Filed under: Tupaia belangeri (northern tree shrew)
Lineage: Eukaryota; Metazoa; Chordata; Mammalia; Scandentia; Tupaiidae
Description: U1 spliceosomal RNA (ENSTBEG00000019418.1)
Rfam family: U1 spliceosomal RNA
About the family: U1 is a small nuclear RNA (snRNA) component of the spliceosome (involved in pre-mRNA splicing). Its 5' end forms complementary base pairs with the 5' splice junction, thus defining the 5' donor site of an intron.
Source: RNAcentral
ACACUUACCAGGCAGGGGAGAUACCAUGGUGAUGAAGGUGGUUUUCCCAGGGCGAGGCUUAUCCACUGCAUUCCGGAUGUGCUGACCCCUGCGAUUUCCCCACAUGUGGGAAACUCGACUGUAUAAUUUGUAGUAGUGGGGGACUGUGCUCAUGCUUUCCCCUG